This 315-nucleotide non-coding RNA is filed under the name Stegodyphus mimosarum. Its description in RNAcentral is "eukaryotic large subunit ribosomal RNA". It matches the Rfam family "Eukaryotic large subunit ribosomal RNA", at positions 675 to 954 of the family's 3401-position model. The record is from Rfam by way of RNAcentral. Lineage: Eukaryota; Metazoa; Arthropoda; Arachnida; Araneae; Eresidae.
CUAACAUGUGCACGAGUCGAUGGGUCUUGAUUAGGCCCAGAGGCGCAAUGAAAGCAAAGGGCAGCAGAAUGCCGUCUGAGUUGGGAUCCUGGGGCUUCCUGCAUCCAAAGAGCACCAACGACCCGUCCUGUCCGAUUUAUCUGGGUUGGGUGGAGUAUGGGCGUACAUGUUGGGACACGAAAGAUGGUGAACUAUGCCCAGGCAGGACAAGGCCAAAGGAAACUCUGGUGGAGAUCUGUAGUGGUUCUGACAUUCAAAUCGAUCGUCAGAUCCUGGCCUAGGGGCGAAAGACUAAUGGUAUCGUCUAAUAGCUGG